Molecule: non-coding RNA, 26 nt
Filed under: Homo sapiens (human)
Lineage: Eukaryota; Metazoa; Chordata; Mammalia; Primates; Hominidae
Source: RNAcentral
UGCUGCUUCUGGGUGACAGUCUGCCU